RNAcentral lists this ribosomal RNA (468 nucleotides) under uncultured bacterium. RNAcentral describes it as "partial 16S ribosomal RNA". It matches the Rfam family "Bacterial small subunit ribosomal RNA", at positions 28 to 507 of the family's 1533-position model. The record is from RNAcentral.
GACGAACGCUGGCGGCGUGCUUAACACAUGCCAGUCGAACGGAAAGGCCCUGCUUUUGUGGGGAGCUCGAGUGGCGAACGGGUGAGUAACACGUGAGUAACCUGCCCUUGACUUUGGGAUAACUUCAGGAAACUGGGGCUAAUACCGGAUAGGAGCUCCUGCUGCAUGGUGGGGGUUGGAAAGUUUCGGCGGUUGGGGAUGGACUCGCGGCUUAUCAGCUUGUUGGUGGGGUAGUGGCUUACCAAGGCUUUGACGGGUAGCCGGCCUGAGAGGGUGACCGGCCACAUUGGGACUGAGAUACGGCCCAGACUCCUACGGGAGGCAGCAGUGGGGAAUAUUGCACAAUGGGCGGAAGCCUGAUGCAGCAACGCCGCGUGCGGGAUGACGGCCUUCGGGUUGUAAACCGCUUUCGCCUGUGACGAAGCGCGAGUGACGGUAAUGGGUAAAGAAGCACCGGCUAACUACGUG